GUGCCAGGCCACUGCGGUUAGACCUGGUGGGAUGUAGAAUAUUUAGUGGGUGUGUAGUUAUAUAUUUUAUUUUAUGUUGUAUAUAUUAGAUUUGAGUAGGGGUGGAAUAUUAAAGUAAAUAUUAAUAUAUUGGUUAUAGGAUUAUAAUAGAGGCUUUUAACAUUUAGAUAUAAACUAGGAUUAGAUACCCUAUUAUACUAAAUAUAGAAUUGUAUACUUGAGUAGUAUUUGUUAUGGUCUCUAAACUUAGAGGAUUUGGCGGUAUCCAAGUCUAGUUAGAGGAACCUGCACUGUAAAUGAUAGUCCACGAAGUAUCUUACUUUAUUUUGAUGUCAGUUUGUAUACCGCCAUUAGAAAAUAAUAUUAAAAAAUAUUUAUUUAGAUAGGGAUUGUCUAGUAUAUUAGGUCUGGGUGCAGCCUAUGGUAAAGUAGUUGUGGGUUACAAUGUAUUAUAUAUAUUAUGGAUAAUAUUUUGAAUAGAAUAUUUGAAGGUGGAUUUAAUAGUAAGUUUGUUUUAACAUGUCAUAUUGAUAUAAGCUCUAGGAUAUGUACAUAUCGCCCGUCACUCUCGUGCUAAAGUGAGAUAAGUCGUACAAAAAGUAGGGA
This 606-nucleotide ribosomal RNA is filed under the name Periclimenes terangeri. RNAcentral's name for it is "partial 12S ribosomal RNA". The record is from RNAcentral. Lineage: Eukaryota; Metazoa; Arthropoda; Malacostraca; Decapoda; Palaemonidae.